UUGAAAGGGAAACGAUUGAAGUCAGUCGUGCUGGCGCGAAAUCAACCUUCUCGUCUUGAGAUCUCAUGGCGUGGCGAGCCUCAAAACCGUCACGAAGCGUGAACUCUUGGUGAAAUGGAGCACUUUCGUGUCCGCUGGUUAACAUCAAUUUCGAACGUCAUAAAAAGGCUGGAGGGAUGUGGCUCCUUCGGGAGUGUUAUAACCUUUAGCGGAAUGUGGUGUUCGGGAUUGAGGAUUGCAACGAAUACCUUUAGGGCUGUUCCACCUGGCUUCUCUUUGGUAUCCUGGUGACGACAGCUUGCUGACGUCGUUAGGAUUCGCCUUUGAACAGGUUAGAGUGUGAGCAAAUUCGUUAAGGAUGUUGACGUA
RNAcentral lists this ribosomal RNA (369 nucleotides) under uncultured Glomeromycotina. RNAcentral describes it as "LSU rRNA". The record is from RNAcentral. Lineage: Eukaryota; Fungi; Glomeromycota.